RNAcentral lists this transfer RNA (74 nucleotides) under Astrosyne radiata. RNAcentral describes it as "tRNA-Ile". It matches the Rfam family "tRNA". From Rfam's summary of the family: Transfer RNA (tRNA) molecules are approximately 80 nucleotides in length. Their secondary structure includes four short double-helical elements and three loops (D, anti-codon, and T loops). The record is from RNAcentral. Lineage: Eukaryota; Bacillariophyta; Fragilariophyceae; Cyclophorales; Cyclophoraceae.
GGCUAUUAGCUCAGUUGGUAAAGAGCGUACCCCUGAUAAGGGUAAGGUCUCUGGUUCAAAUCCGGAAUGGCCCA